This 253-nucleotide ribosomal RNA is filed under the name uncultured microorganism. RNAcentral describes it as "partial 16S ribosomal RNA". It matches the Rfam family "Bacterial small subunit ribosomal RNA", at positions 524 to 776 of the family's 1533-position model. The record is from RNAcentral.
UACGUAGGGUGCGAGCGUUAAUCGGAUUUACUGGGCGUAAAGCGUGCGCAGGCGGUUUGUUAAGCGAGAUGUGAAAGCCCCGGGCUCAACCUGGGAACUGCAUCCAAAACUGGCAAGCUAGAGUAUGGCAGAGGGUGGUGGAAUUUCCUGUGUAGCGGUGAAAUGCGUAGAUAUAGGAAGGAACACCAGUGGCGAAGGCGACCACCUGGGCUAAUACUGACACUGAGGUGCGAAAGCGUGGGGAGCAAACAGG